CCUACGGGAGGCAGCAGUAGGGAAUAUUGGUCAAUGGGUGAAAGCCUGAACCAGCCAUGCCGCGUGCAGGAAGAAGGCGUUAUGGGUUGUAAACUGCUUUUGCCAGGGGAUAAAAUAACUGUGCGCAGUUGAUUGAAGGUACCUGGUGAAUAAGCCACGGCUAACUACGUGCCAGCAGCCGCGGUAAUA
RNAcentral lists this ribosomal RNA (189 nucleotides) under uncultured bacterium. RNAcentral describes it as "partial 16S ribosomal RNA". It matches the Rfam family "Bacterial small subunit ribosomal RNA", at positions 338 to 525 of the family's 1533-position model. The record is from RNAcentral.